Eriocheir sinensis (Chinese mitten crab) is the source of this 1945-nucleotide long non-coding RNA. RefSeq lists it as uncharacterized. The record is from RefSeq and is a predicted model, not a curated record. The transcript has 4 exons. Lineage: Eukaryota; Metazoa; Arthropoda; Malacostraca; Decapoda; Varunidae.
UGACUCCAUUUUCCUCCACUUUCCUCCACCUCUUUCUCCUUUCCUCCUAUACCAAAAAAUAGCUUAAUCUUUCCUCUUCCUCCUCCUGUCUUCCGCUUGCUCCUCCUCCUCUUGGUUUCCCUGUUAUCUCCACUUUUAUCAAGGUCUGUGUAUUUCUCCGGCAUAAUUAUGGUGGUUUUGUUCAUUUCCUCCUCCAAGUUUGACUCCAUUUUCCUCCACUUUCCUCCACCUCUUCCUCCUUUCCUCCUAUACCAAAAAAUAGCUUAAUCUUUCCUCUUCCUCCUCCUGUCUUCCGCUUCCUCCUCCUCCUCUUGGUUUCUCUCUUAUCUCCACUUUUAUCAAGGUCUGUGUAUUUUUCCGGCAUAAUUUUGGUGGUUUCAUCCAUUUCCUCCUCCAAGUUCAAGUCCAUUUUUCUCCACUUUCCUCCACCUCUCCCUCCUUUCCUCCUAUACCAAAAAAUAGCUUAAUCUUUCCUCUUCCUCCUCCUGUCUUCCUCUUCCUCCUCCUCCUCUUGGUUUCCCUGUUAUCUCCACUUUUAUCAAGGUCUGUGUAUUUCUCCAGCAUAAUUUUGGUGGUUUCGUUCAUUUCCUCCUCCAAGUUUGACUCCACUUUCCUCCACUUUCCUCCACCUCUUCCUCCUUUCCUCCUAUACCAAAAAAUAGCUUAAUCUUCCCUCUUCCUCCUCCUGUCUUCCCCUUCCUCCUCCUCCUCUUGGUUUCCCUGUUAUCUCCACUUUUAUCAAGGUCUGUGUAUUUUUGGAAAGUUUUUAGUUAAGUACAAAUUUCUCCUGAACUAUAAGGUUGUGAGCACUGCCAGUUAUAGGUGUUGUAGGUGAGUGUUAGGAGCAUCUUGUGUUAGAAUCUUGUGUUCCUAACUGUUGUGGAUUCUGAGAUAUUGCCAGUUAGAGUUGACACACACACACACACACACACACACUAACUCUGUGAUGGUUCUUGCAGGGAAGGAGCCGAGAUGAGACCAGACUCAGCCCUCCAGUGAGCCCAGGAGACCACCAGGGGGACACCCACGCACCUCAUGGCUUGGGGGAGGUCACAUGGAGGCUGUGGGGAAGGAGCUGAGAUGAGACCAGACUCAGCCCUCCAGUGAGCCCAGGAGACCACCAGGGGGACACCCACGCACCUCAUGGCUUGGGGGGGGGUCACAUGGAGGCUGUGGGUGAGUGAAGCAACGCACCCCCUGUGUAUGCUCAGGGCCCAGGCUUCGUCAGGUCAGGAGCUGCCUCAAGAACAGGUCAUUUCCCUCACUUAUUCUCUCCAUGUUUCCUCCGUUUUCUCCUCCUUCCUCCACCUCUUCCUCCUUUCCCCAUAUACCAAAAAAUAGCUUAAUCUUUCCUCUUCCUCCUCCUGUCUUCCGCUUCCUCCUCCUCCUCUUGGUUUCCCUGUUAUCUCCACUUUUAUCAAGGUCUGUGUAUUUCUCUGGCAUUAUUUUUGUGGUUUCGUUCAUUUCCUCCUCCAAGUUUGACUCCAUUUUUCUCCACUUUCCUCCACCUCUCCCUCCUUUCCUCAUAUACCAAAAAAUAGCUUAAUCUUUCCUCUUCCUCCUCCUGUCUUCUGCUUCCUCCUCCUCCUCUUGAUUUCCCUGUUAUCUCCACUUUUAUCAAGGUCUGUGUAUUUCUCCAGCUUAAUUUUGGGGGCUUCGUUCAUUUCCUCCUCGAAGUUCAAGUCCAUUUUUCUCCUCUUUCCUCCAUCUCUCCCUCCUUUCCUCAUAUACCAAAAAAUAGCUUAAUCCUUCCUCUUCCUCCUCCUGUCUUCCGCUUCCUCCUCCUCCUCUUGGUUUCCCUGUUAUCUCCACUUUUAUCAAGGUCUGUGUCUUAUUCCAGGGUUGAAAACUUUGCAGAAUGGACAAAAAAAUACCAGAAUUUGCUUGAAUAUUUAUUGACCAAAAUGACACUUCUUGCAGAGAGAGAGAGAGAGAGAGAGAGAGA